CCUACGGGAGGCUGCAGUAGGGAAUCUUCCACAAUGGGCGAAAGCCUGAUGGAGCAACGCCGCGUGGGUGAAGAAGGUCUUCGGAUCGUAAAACCCUGUUGUUAGAGAAGAAAGUGCGUGAGAGUAACUGUUCACGCUUCGACGGUAUCUAACCAGAAAGCCACGGCUAACUACAUGCCAGCAGCCGAGGGAAUACGUAGGUGGCAAGCGUUGUCCGGAUUUAUUGGGCGUAAAGGGAACGCAGUAGGUCUUUUAAGUCUGAUGUGAAAGCCUUCGGCUUAACCGGAGAAGUGCAUUGGAUACUGGGAGACUUGAGUGCAGAAGAGGAGAGUGGAACUCGAGGUGUAGCGGUGAAAUGCGUAGAUAUAUGGAAGAACACCAGUGGCGAAGGCGGCUCUCUGGUCUGUAACUGACGCUGAGGUUCGAAAGUGUGGGUAGCAAACAGGAUUAGAUACCCCAGUAGUC
This 465-nucleotide ribosomal RNA is filed under the name uncultured bacterium. Its description in RNAcentral is "partial 16S ribosomal RNA". It matches the Rfam family "Bacterial small subunit ribosomal RNA", at positions 338 to 795 of the family's 1533-position model. The record is from RNAcentral.